This 292-nucleotide ribosomal RNA is filed under the name uncultured bacterium. Its description in RNAcentral is "partial 16S ribosomal RNA". It matches the Rfam family "Bacterial small subunit ribosomal RNA", at positions 505 to 796 of the family's 1533-position model. The record is from RNAcentral.
GUGUCAGCCGCCGCGGUAAGACGAACCGUGCGAACGUUGUUCGGAAUCACUGGGCUUAAAGGGCGCGUAGGCGGGCUGGCGAGUCCGGGGUGAAAUCCCACGGCCCAACCGUGGAAGUGCCCCGGAUACCGCCGGCCUCGAGGGAGGUAGGGGCGUGUGGAACUUCCGGUGGAGCGGUGAAAUGCGUAGAGAUCGGAAGGAACGCCGGUGGCGAAAGCGACACGCUGGACCUCUGCUGACGCUGAGGCGCGAAAGCCAGGGGAGCGAACGGGAUUAGAAACCCGUGUAGUCC